RNAcentral lists this unclassified non-coding RNA (152 nucleotides) under soil metagenome. Its description in RNAcentral is "partial internal transcribed spacer 1". The record is from RNAcentral.
CCGAGUUUACAACUCCCAAACCCCUGUGAACAUACCUAUCGUUGCUUCGGCGGAUCCGCCCCGGCGCCCUCGGGCCCGGAUCAGGCGCCCGCCGGAGACCCUAAACUCUGCUAUUCUGUAGUAUCUUCUGAGUAAAAGAUUAAAUUAAAUCA